GGUGGCUCAGUGGUAGAGCGCUUGCCUUGCAUCCAUGAGACCCUGGGUUCCAUUCCUCAGCACCA
Molecule: non-coding RNA, 65 nt
Organism: Dipodomys ordii (Ord's kangaroo rat)
Lineage: Eukaryota; Metazoa; Chordata; Mammalia; Rodentia; Heteromyidae
Source: Rfam